This 350-nucleotide ribosomal RNA is filed under the name uncultured bacterium. RNAcentral's name for it is "bacterial SSU rRNA". It matches the Rfam family "Bacterial small subunit ribosomal RNA", at positions 8 to 353 of the family's 1533-position model. The record is from RNAcentral.
AGAGUUUGAUCAUGGCUCAGGAUGAACGCUAGCUACAGGCUUAACACAUGCAAGUCGAACGAGAGAUGAGGAGCUUGCUCUUCAAAUCGAGUGGCGAACGGGUGAGUAACGCGUGAGGAACCUGCCUCAAAGAGGGGGACAACAGUUGGAAACGACUGCUAAUACCGCAUAAGCCCACGGCUCGGCAUCGAGCAGAGGGAAAAGGAGUGAUCCGCUUUGAGAUGGCCUCGCGUCCGAUUAGCUAGUUGGUGAGGUAACGGCCCACCAAGGCAACGAUCGGUAGCCGGACUGAGAGGUUGAACGGCCACAUUGGGACUGAGACACGGCCCAGACUCCUACGGGAGGCAGCA